UCAGAACGAACGCUGGCGGCGUGGAUAAGACAUGCAAGUCGAACGAGAGAAUUGCUAGCUUGCUAAUAAUUCUCUAGUGGCGCACGGGUGAGUAACACGUGAGUAACCUGCCCCCGAGAGCGGGAUAGCCCUGGGAAACUGGGAUUAAUACCGCAUAGUAUCGAAAGAUUAAAGCAGCAAUGCGCUUGGGGAUGGGCUUGCGGCCUAUUAGUUAGUUGGUGAGGUAACGGCUCACCAAGGCGAUGACGGGUAGCCGGUCUGAGAGGAUGUCCGGCCACACUGGAACUGAGACACGGUCCAGACACCUACGGGUGGCAGCAGUCGAGAAUCAUUCACAAUGGGGGAAACCCUGAUGGUGCGACGCCGCGUGGGGGAAUGAAGGUCUUCGGAUUGUAAACCCCUGUCAUGUGGGAGCAGAUUAAAAAGAUAGUACCACAAGAGGAAGAGACGGCUAACUCUGUGCCAGCAGCCGCGGUAAUACAGAGGUCUCAAGCGUUGUUCGGAAUCACUGGGCGUAAAGCGUGCGUAGGCUGUUUCGUAAGUCGUGUGUGAAAGGCGCGGGCUCAACCCGCGGACGGCACAUGAUACUGCGAGACUAGAGUAAUGGA
Molecule: ribosomal RNA, 608 nt
Filed under: uncultured bacterium
Lineage: Bacteria
Description: bacterial SSU rRNA
Rfam family: Bacterial small subunit ribosomal RNA
Source: RNAcentral